Molecule: non-coding RNA, 217 nt
Organism: Oryza glumipatula
Lineage: Eukaryota; Viridiplantae; Streptophyta; Magnoliopsida; Poales; Poaceae
Source: Rfam
UUUUUGUGCAGUUGUGGAAUUCCGUGUUCAAUGUUUAAUCGUCCAUCUUAUUGAAAUUCUUUUUAUGAUUAGUAUAUUUUUAUUAUUAUUGGAUGAUAAAACAUGAAUAGUAAUGCAUGCCUUUUUUUUUUCUUUUUUUUGAAUUUUUUUAUAAUUCUUUUAAAUAAGACGGACAGUCAAACAUUGGAUAUAGAAACUCACUAUUAGUACACUUAAA